CCUACGGGUGGCAGCAGUGGGGAAUAUUGCGCAAUGGGCGAAAGCCUGACGCAGCGACGCCGCGUGAGGGAUGAAGGUCUUCGGAUCGUAAACCUCUGUCAGCAGGGAAGAACGGUCACUGUGCUAAUCAGCAGUGAAUUGACGUUACCUGCAAAGGAAGCACCGGCUAACUCCGUGCCAGCAGCCGCGGUAAUACGGAGGGUGCGAGCGUUAAUCGGAAUUACUGGGCGUAAAGCGCUCGUAGGCGGUAUGUCAAGUCAAGGGUGAAAUCCCCGCGCUCAACGUGGGAACUGCCUUUGAAACUGGCAAACUGGAGUGUGGGAGAGGAUAGUGGAAUUCCAGGUGUAGGAGUGAAAUGCGUAGAUAUCUGGAGGAACAUCAGUGGCGAAGGCGACUAUCUGGCACAUAACUGACGCUGAGGAGCGAAAGCGUGGGUAGCAAACAGGAUUAGAUACCCCGGUAGUC
RNAcentral lists this ribosomal RNA (465 nucleotides) under uncultured bacterium. RNAcentral's name for it is "partial 16S ribosomal RNA". It matches the Rfam family "Bacterial small subunit ribosomal RNA", at positions 338 to 795 of the family's 1533-position model. The record is from RNAcentral.